RNAcentral lists this small RNA (134 nucleotides) under Salmonella enterica subsp. enterica. RNAcentral describes it as "RtT sRNA". It matches the Rfam family "RtT RNA". Rfam says of the family: This family represents a bacterial cis-regulatory element known as RtT RNA. The exact function of RtT is unknown although it is thought that it may be involved in changing the cellular response in relation to amino acid starvation. Lineage: Bacteria; Pseudomonadati; Pseudomonadota; Gammaproteobacteria; Enterobacterales; Enterobacteriaceae. The record is from RNAcentral.
UGUAUCUGAAGUCUGACGAGGAUGAGAACCUCCGGGGGCAAGAGGUUCGACUCGAGCGAAGCGAGAGAACGUUGCGUCAGCAACGGCUCGCAGGGCGAGCCACGCAGUGGCGAGUCAUCCUCUAUCACCGACCA